This 622-nucleotide ribosomal RNA is filed under the name uncultured bacterium. RNAcentral describes it as "bacterial SSU rRNA". It matches the Rfam family "Bacterial small subunit ribosomal RNA", at positions 60 to 684 of the family's 1533-position model. The record is from RNAcentral.
AGUCGAACGGGAUUUAGUAAACAGAAACCUCGGUGGAAGAUUACUAAUGAGAGUGGCGAACGGGUGAGUAACGCGUGAGCAACCUGCCUAUGACAGUGGGAUAGCCUCGGGAAACCGGGAUUAAUACCGCAUAAAAUCGUAGAAACACAUGUUUCAACGGUCAAAGAUUUAUCGGUCAUAGAUGGGCUCGCGUCUGAUUAGCUAGUUGGUGAGAUAACAGCCCACCAAGGCGACGAUCAGUAGCCGGUCUGAGAGGAUGAACGGCCACAUUGGAACUGAGACACGGUCCAAACUCCUACGGGAGGCAGCAGUGGGGAAUAUUGCACAAUGGGGGAAACCCUGAUGCAGCGACGCCGCGUGAACGAAGAAGGUAUUCGUAUCGUAAAGUUCUGUCCUAUGGGAAGAUAAUGACAGUACCAUAGAAGAAAGCUCCGGCUAAAUACGUGCCAGCAGCCGCGGUAAUACGUAUGGAGCGAGCGUCGUCCGGAAUUAUUGGGCGUAAAGGGUACGCAGGCGGUUUAAUAAGUCGAAUGUUAAAGAUCGGGGCUCAACCCCGUAAAGCAUUGGAAACUGAUAAACUUGAGUAGUGGAGAGGAAAGUGGAAUUCCUAGUGUAGUGGUGA